AAGGUCCCUAAAUGUAAGUUAAGUGGUAAAGGAUGUGGGAUUGCACAGACAACCAGGAUGUUGGCUUAGAAGCAGCCACUCAUUCAAAGAGUGCGUAAUAGCUCACUGGUCGAGUGAUCCUGCGCCGAAGAUUUCCGGGGCUAAAACUUACUACCGAAGCUACGGCAUCAGUAAUGAUGGGUAGGGGAGCUUCCCAUACGGGUUGAAGCAUGACCGUAAGGACAUGUGGACAGUAUGGGAGUGAGAAUGUUGGCAUGAGUAGCGAGAUGUGGGUGAGAAUCCCACAGGCCGUAAACCCAAGGUUUCCAGGGGAAGGUUCGUCCGCCCUGGGUUAGUCGGGACCUAAGCUGAGGCCGAAAGGCGUAGGUGAUGGACAACAGGUUGAUAUUCCUGUACUACCGAUAACCGUUUGAGAGAAGGGAUGACACAGUAGGAUAAGCUAAGCACACUG
Molecule: ribosomal RNA, 451 nt
Filed under: Clostridioides difficile
Lineage: Bacteria; Bacillati; Bacillota; Clostridia; Peptostreptococcales; Peptostreptococcaceae
Description: bacterial LSU rRNA
Rfam family: Bacterial large subunit ribosomal RNA
Source: RNAcentral